This is a long non-coding RNA of Magallana angulata, 1590 nucleotides long. RefSeq lists it as uncharacterized. Lineage: Eukaryota; Metazoa; Mollusca; Bivalvia; Ostreida; Ostreidae. The transcript is spliced from 2 exons. The record is from RefSeq and is a predicted model, not a curated record.
CAGGUGUUCCUCUCACUAGAUUAAUGCUGCAUGAAGAGGGCUGUGUAAAGACAUAGGUACACAAGUUCUACAUUGGUUGCAAUUAUACAAAUGCACACAAUUCAGCAUAGGUUGCAAAUAUGUGUUAAUGUCAUUUUGUUCAAUAUGAUAGUGUUGACGUUAAGAUUUGAGGGUAUAUGUAAAAAAAAAAAAUGCUUUGAAGAUUUAUGUUACAUACAUUAUAGCAUGGUGUGCAGUGGGGGCUUUUUUAAAGACACUCGAAGCUUUUAGGGAGGGGGACAUUAGGAAGUAGGAGUUGAACAGAGGACUGCUCAUUUUUGCCUUUUAAUAUCUUGACAAAGCAGUACAAUUGCAUGUAUGUGAAGAAAACCAUAUAUUUUCCCAAGAAUAUCAUUAAAAAGUACCGUUAGCUUAUAAUUAAAAGCCUGGUGAUUUUUAGGUCCAGUAGAUGUAAUGCAUGAUAUGAUGAUUAGGCAAAGCUUGGAAAAUAGAUUGCUUUGUUUAUGCUUGUGUUUUAUUUUUGUUUUUUCCCACUUUCCAAUGGAUGCUGAUUUAUCAACAGGAGGUUAGUAUUUUACAUAACUGGAGCCUGCUUAUUCAUGUCUUGUGAUGGUCUACUAACUCCUUUCUUCAAUGUCUUAUUCUGAAAAUCUUUAACCUUAGCUAUAAUCAUAUUGAUUUUUACUACAAUGGGUAAAGGGAGAGCUUUUCACAUGUUCCUUUUUUUCGUGUUUCAUUUACUGUGGAAUCAUUAAAAUUGGGGGGGGGGGCAGUUUUUUGUGGAUUUCUAAAAUUUUAUAGGUUUGUGGGGAUGUAAUUCUGUGUAUUUUCUUAUAUCUACAAAAAGGAAUAUGACUUUAUAACAUAAAUGUAUUAAUUCAUGGAGGAUCUUUAUUUGUUGUUAAGAGGUACCCACAAACUCCACAAAAAUAGAGUAGCCAUGAAAUCUAAUAAUUCCACAGUAUUUCAUGUUUUGUGUUGUAGCAAAAUAUAUCUAAAAUUUGCAGAUAUAAAUUUUAAUUUGGUUGUUUCUAAUUAAAAACUUUAUUUUUUUACAUCAUUAAUAAAGAAAAAUAACUCAGUAAUCUAUAUUACUUUUUGUUGGAAACAGAAUAAAAAGGUUUGGGAGAUGGGUGAAAAUUGUUUGAUUUUUAAGUCUUUAAUAUUGAUAUUUUUUUUCAUAAUCUAUAUUGGGCAUUUAUUUAUGGAGAGGGUGCAAUGUUGUGAAAAUGAAUGCAAUAAACAAUACCAGUUAAGAAUUUGUCAAACUUAAUAUUUAUUGUUUAUAUCAUUCUCAAAAAGAGCAGCUCAAGUUAAUUCAGAACCCAGUUGCAAGAUGCUUAGAUUUUAAAGUCUGAUCAGAAAAUCCUGUCUCAAAAUCACUAGGUUCACAUCUACAUUAUUAAAGAGCAUUAUCAUCGUCUAUCGGCCAAUCUGUGGAAUCUCAUUUCUUCACAUUUCUGGUUAUAGUACGCAAUUUAGGGCAUAUCAUCUAAUAAUGAACAUUAGAACAGAGAAUGGUUGUCUUGCUCACUCAACUAAAAAGAGUUAGAAACUUUAAAUGUGGUGAUUUUCAAUGAUUACUUGUAA